UACGUAGGGGGCAAGCGUUGUCCGGAUUUAUUGGGCGUAAAGAGCGUGUAGGCGGCCAGUCAGGUCCGUUGUGAAAACUCGAGGCUCAACCUCGAGACGCCGAUGGAAACCGACUGGCUAGAGUCCGGAAGAGGAGAGUGGAAUUCCCGGCGUAGCGGUGAAAUGCGCAGAUAUCGGGAAGAACACCCGUGGCUAAGGCGGCUCUCUAGUACGGUACUGACGCUGAGACGCGAAAGCGUGGGGAGCGAACAGG
This 253-nucleotide ribosomal RNA is filed under the name uncultured bacterium. RNAcentral describes it as "partial 16S ribosomal RNA". It matches the Rfam family "Bacterial small subunit ribosomal RNA", at positions 524 to 776 of the family's 1533-position model. The record is from RNAcentral.